Molecule: ribosomal RNA, 253 nt
Filed under: uncultured bacterium
Lineage: Bacteria
Description: partial 16S ribosomal RNA
Rfam family: Bacterial small subunit ribosomal RNA
Source: RNAcentral
UACGUAGGGGGCUAGCGUUGUCCGGAAUCAUUGGGCGUAAAGAGCGUGUAGGCGGCCAGGUAGGUCUGAUGUGAAAACUCGAGGCUCAACCUCGAGACGUCGGCGGAAACCAUCUGGCUAGAGUCCGGAAGAGGAGAGUGGAAUUCCUGGUGUAGCGGUGAAAUGCGCAGAUAUCAGGAAGAACACCCGUGGCGAAGGCGGCUCUCUGGGACGGUACUGACGCUGAGACGCGAAAGCGUGGGGAGCGAACAGG